CGUUGAAACACCAGUGCCCGUAGGGUCACCGAAGUUAAGCAACGCUGAACAUGAUCAGUGCCUAGAUGGGUGAACGCUUGGGAAAAGCAGGUGCUGUAA
Molecule: non-coding RNA, 99 nt
Organism: Acanthosepion pharaonis
Lineage: Eukaryota; Metazoa; Mollusca; Cephalopoda; Sepiida; Sepiidae
Source: the annotation of a GenBank genome assembly